This 302-nucleotide long non-coding RNA is filed under the name Oryza brachyantha (malo sina). Its description in RNAcentral is "long non-coding RNA (OBRA_LNC000048)". The record is from RNAcentral. Lineage: Eukaryota; Viridiplantae; Streptophyta; Magnoliopsida; Poales; Poaceae.
UCCAACUUGCAAUAUGUGUAGACUCGUUUCUGCAUUUGCUGCGCCCUUUUGCCUGCCAGCCGCAGUGGUUGGGAGCUCGUGGGAUGAAGGCGUGCAGCCGGUACGUAUGGCUAGCCGAAGUGCCGGUAUCCAUCACAUGUGCAAGCUAGGGAGAUGAGGAGUGCAUGAGUUGGAUUCGUUGCAAGAGUUGUAUUUCCAUUAAAUAAGACAUUGUAUCGACAAAACUGAUGAUAUAUCGAGAAUUUUAGGAAGAGAAGGAAUGGGCUUUCUCUAAAUAAAACCAGACAUACAUACUUACCAAU